Molecule: long non-coding RNA, 2904 nt
Organism: Vespula vulgaris
Lineage: Eukaryota; Metazoa; Arthropoda; Insecta; Hymenoptera; Vespidae
Exons: 2
Source: RefSeq, a predicted model, not a curated record
UUUAUAAGAGGAUAUAAUCGAUUACGUCCCGAAAGGUGUGUCGAAGGGUCGUCCGACGGUGGACACGAAUCGGGGAUUAUAGAGGAAUAUUUGCUAUAACGAGAGAAUAUUUCUUCGUAGAAAACAAUAUUUCAUCGCGGAAUCUGUAUGGGGUGUAUGUUGUCCCACCCUCAAGAGAAUUCAGCGCAGUUCAGAUGGGAGAAUGAAAAUCAAUAAUAACGUUGACGGUGUUCUUGGAUAUUGAACUAAUAUCAAAUUGGAUAGUUCUUAAUUAGAAAAUUAUAUACACCAUAGUCAUAUUUAUUGCGAUACCAUGGGUGAGAUUAGGAACAAUAAGGAAAAUCUUUGGGCGAUUAACAUUGAAACCGAAAUAAAGGAUCUGCGAAUCAAUAUUCUAGAAGAAGAGGAAGAAGGAGGAGGUACAGGAGAUGAAAGAGUGGAAACUGAAGGUAAAUUUUAUUUAAUCAAGUCCAUGUUGGACUCUGGCCGAAUAUUGAUUUUGCGUAUCUCGUUUUGAUUUCGAAAAUUCCUAACACGGUGUAUCGUAAGAACGAACUUGAAUGGAUCGUCGAGACCUAUCGGGAAUAAUAAUAAUAUGGAAAUAAUAAAGAAUACUAUCGAGAAUAGAACCGAUUAUGAGAGUCGAAAAUGUAUUCAUGGAUUGAAGAAUGAGCAGAAAAAAAAUCGAAAUGAAACUAAGGUAUGUUUAACUCUCAAAAUGAUUAAACCUGCAGAGACGAUCAAAACAUUUACCAAUUUCCGAAAUAAUAAUGAAUACUUUUAAGUCAUACGAGAAAUGAUAGUAUCACGCUUACGUCAUCGUGUUAUCGUAAUUAUAUACAUCAAUAAUCAUUCAAUGUAAUAAAAACAGAAGAAAUGUUGAAUUUAUAAAUCGUAAUAUUCAUGAGAUGUGCUUCAAAAAUAUUCACAAUAUAUAAUGUACGAAUGGUAGAAAUGUAGGAAUUUCGAUGUUUCUGUGUAGAGCGAAUUCUCUUAAUAUGUACUGAUUGGGAUUUAAUAAUGUGCAUGUACGCUCUCCCGUAGUUAUCGUCAGUACGAUUUAUUAUUACCUAUUUCAAUCUAUGCGUAUUCUUGUGAGCUCAUUAAUAUAAGCUAAUUCAAGUGGGCGGUAAUGAGUGCUCGGUAUUGCGAGCGUGUGUGCGUACGCCUCUUGUUUCGUUUGGUCGAAAAUAAGAAAGGAAUUUUUUCAUUUGUCUUCUCUUCAGCAAAGCAAGCAGACAGUGAACGAUACGAUUAGUUAUGUAAUUCAAUUAGCCGUUUAUAUGCAUUCUUUAAUUACCCGAUUAGCUCUUUUGCAGUGCAAUUGACCACGUCACUGAUUUAAUGCUUUUAUAAGAUGAAUACACUUCCCUAAAAAUUCUUUCUCGAUAGGGAAACUUAAACAAAUGAUUCAAUUCUACUUCUAGCCAUCUAAUAUUUAGUAUAUUAUGUUUCAAACCGAUUAGUUUCUUGGAAAGUAUUAUAUUUCUUAAAUCGUUUAUUUCUUAUUACGUAUAAUGGAGUAUAACUGCUAUUUUAUUAUAUUUCAAUUAACACAAUAUUUUUAUUUUGCGAAUCCGUUAUCCGAAUGAUGUUAUUACUCGAUGAGCGCACAUAUAACAAACAUUUACGUAAUACUUCGCCCAACAUAGUAGCGAUCUAUUAUAUUGUUUUCUUGGUUUGUUAUUCGACCAAUCGAUCGACAUCGCUCAAUGUGUAAGUUAUAAAUGUUAGUUAAUAGAAAGAUAAUUUUUCUGUGAAAUUGAAAUUACCAGUUCUUCUAAAUACGAUAUUCAAAAUUCUACUUUCCCGGUAAUGUCAACAUUUUCUUCACAAACAAUAAAUAAAUAAGAAUUAGUAAAUACCGACGAAAACUAAACACAUAGAAAGUAGAAGGAUAGAAAAUAUAAGUGUAUGGAAAAUGACGGAUAAGGGAUAUUAACGGGAAAAAGAAACUCAAAAACUGUAAAGAAUGAUGAAAACGAAAAAAGAUUUCUCCUUAUCGGUAUCGAUAAAAAUUAUUUGUAACAUUGUGAUGAAAUUACCGGGGAUGACAUAAUAUCUCAUCAAUUUAUGAAAAAUAGUGGGGAAGAAAAUAGAUAGAAGCGAAAAUGUGAUUUCAUACUAGAAUUUAUUGUAUACUUUUAAAGGGAAUACAGUUUGUUUAUUCAGUCGUUAUUUGAGCCAACUUCUGAGAGAUCGAGAAGAGAAUGGCCCAGAAGAAUAAAUCAACAACCAAUCAGUUAUGAUAAUGAAUUCUAUAUCAUCUAUAUCGUUUUAAACAAUAUACACUCGACAAGAUAAAAGAUUUUUGAAUUUUUUUGAUCUCUGAAUUCAUUAUUGUGCCAAUUGCUUUUAUAUAGUUCUGUAAGACUAAUAGAAGGGCCUAUAACUAUUUUCGCUAGAUCUUCGUUACAAUUCUUUAAUCAGCUUAACGAUAAAAAUUUUUCUUCAUGUUUCCCUCAUCUUUUCAUUAUUCUUUCAUAAUUCUUCUCACACGGCAGACGGAAUCUACAAAUAUAUACACAAAUACAUAUAUUCAUAUCUAUAUACACAUAUAUAUCUUACUGUAUACUAAAAUCCAAUACAUUUACAUACUUGUUUAUUCGCAUAUUUGUCUACGUGUUGAUAAAGUAUAUGUAUCUGAACAUCUGUAAGCAUAUAAAAAUAAAGUAUGAUUAAUAAAAUGUAAUAAAAAUGAAAUAAAAAUGAAAAUUAAAUUAAAGGGAAACUUGGAAAAUAAAUUGAACUAAUAAAAAAGAUGUCAUUAAGAAAGAAGCAAAAUAUGUAUCGGGAAAGUGUACCAAAUAAUAUCGACUCCAUACUUUCAUAUAUCUACGCAAUACAGAUAAAUGUAAACUUGACUGUUAAUAAAUGUGUGCUUUUCCCUUAAUUUAAAAAAAA